ACGCGCUCCACUCGCUGCGGGUGCGCGAGCAGCGCGCUCCCGCCACCCGCGUCGCCAUCUUUUCCCCCUCAGUCUGUCUGUCUGCUGUUGGCUUUGUCCGUCUGCAGCGCCGCCCCUCGGCUUCCCACCACCGGCACGACCCGGAGCUGCCCUCUGCCCGCCGGGGCCCAGUCGCGGAGAGCCCCGGCCCGGCGGGCCCGAGCUGCGGUCCGGGGCCCAUUGUCCGGCCGUCUGUCUGUCCGGAGGCGGGGCCCAGGGACCCGGAGCGCCGCGGAGCGCCGAGGCGCCGGGUACAAACCACUGGGGAUUCAGGCGAGUUUACUUUGCUCCGUGGGAACUGCACCAGAUCUGGAGGUCUGAAAAAGAACUGUGUUUGAUAUGCAGAUAUGAUAGAAGACUGCCUGAAAGCUGCUUCCUUUGCCACUUCCUGUGGAGGCCUGUCUUUGCCAUUUGCGGUUUCUUUCUUCUUUUGGUAAGGGGAGGCAGGAUCUGAUUACAGGUCUGAGGUCCUUUCUAGCUACAUAGAGGAGUUAGUUGGCAUAACAGGAGGCAAGUCUUCACUAACUUGAGUGCAGAGUAUAGAUGGUAGUAAGUAACCUCUCAUAAUGCCUCUUAAGGCAGUAAACUACAAUUUUAUAUUUGCUUAUUCAGUGUGAGUACAAUUUGAGAAGGCAGAAACUGAAAGAAAAGUUAGAGGGUGAUCAGGUCCACAUUCUUAUCUUUGGUAGGAAAGAGAAUAUCUCUCUUUUCAAUCUAUGUCUGCUUAUUCACUCUGUCUUUCAAAGAAAAUUCACAGCUUCCUGUACUAAUCCAUUUCAGACUCUCUAACAACACUUAAUGCUGGGAAAGCCUUUCUUAUAACUAACCAGGAACUGUAGGCGUAAGUAUCUGUUUCCUCCUAUUUCAGGGAAGCAGGUGCAUGUCUCUGUAACACUUCUCAUUUGGGGACUUUUUCUCUUUGUUCUUCCCACUCUUUGCUACACAGAGGCUGGAUUGAGAAGAAGCACUAAA
RNAcentral lists this long non-coding RNA (1011 nucleotides) under Moschus moschiferus (Siberian musk deer). RNAcentral describes it as "lncRNA (ENSMMSG00000002848.1)". Lineage: Eukaryota; Metazoa; Chordata; Mammalia; Artiodactyla; Moschidae. The record is from RNAcentral.